CAACCGUCGUCAACAAUUCGCUAUCAAGAAUCCGCUAUCAAGAAUUCGUCUGACCCGACCCAUCGUCGAACUUCUUCACGGUGAGCCAGUUUAGUUCUCUUUCCGACUGCGGAACACCAAAAUUUUGUCGAGUGAUUUUGAAUUGUUGAAUUUUAGAUUUCAAAAAUAUCAAAGUUUUGAAGCCAACAAGUAUUUUUUAUCUGUUCGAUCAAUUUCUUGGUUUGUUAAGUAGUAGGUGUGAAGAUCGAUCAAAUUGUUAGACGUAGUGACAGGACGCAUUCAUCAUGUUCGAUGAAAUGUCUCAGUCAGUUUUUUAUUCUAAUUUUAGUUUUUUUUUUGUAGAUACGGGUGAAAAGCAAGUCAAAGAAUGGAACCGUCAAACAAUGAAGGCAUUAUGUUCAGUAAACACGAAUUGGGGAGGUUUAGCCUCGACAACAGGUUUGCACUUUCUCACUUUUAAAUUUAAUUUUUUAAUGUCGGUUUGGCUACGAAAAGUUGAGAAUCGUAAGUAUUUCUUGGGGUUCGUUACUUCUAUAUAUAUGCUAAAUCAUGAUCUUAAUUUGUUUCUAUGGUAGAAUGGUGCUAGUGUGCUCCGGUGAAACUUGCUCGCAGCUUUGUAGGCACUUAUGUGGUACUACGGAGUUCGAUUUUGCGAAGGCAACAUAUAUUACACCAGAACUGAAGUUCAAAG
RNAcentral lists this long non-coding RNA (691 nucleotides) under Erythranthe guttata (spotted monkey flower). RNAcentral's name for it is "long non-coding RNA (EGUT_LNC000401)". The record is from RNAcentral. Lineage: Eukaryota; Viridiplantae; Streptophyta; Magnoliopsida; Lamiales; Phrymaceae.